GGCGCUAUGGUGUAGUGGUAGCACUUAGGAUUUUGAUUCCUACAACCCAGGUUCGAACCCUGGUAGCGCAC
Molecule: transfer RNA, 71 nt
Filed under: Armillaria ostoyae
Lineage: Eukaryota; Fungi; Basidiomycota; Agaricomycetes; Agaricales; Physalacriaceae
Rfam family: tRNA
About the family: Transfer RNA (tRNA) molecules are approximately 80 nucleotides in length.
Source: RNAcentral